This 250-nucleotide ribosomal RNA is filed under the name uncultured bacterium. Its description in RNAcentral is "partial 16S ribosomal RNA". It matches the Rfam family "Bacterial small subunit ribosomal RNA", at positions 28 to 276 of the family's 1533-position model. The record is from RNAcentral.
GACGAACGCUGGCGGCGUGCUUAACACAUGCAAGUCGAGCGGUAAGGCCCUUUCGGGGGUACACGGGCGGCGAACGGGUGAGUAACACGUGGGUGACCUGCCCUUAGCGUCUGGGAUAAGCCGUGGGAAACUGGGUCUAAUACCGGAUAUGACUCCAUGACGCAUGUUGUGGGGUGGAAAGCCUUGUGCGGCUAGGGAUGGGCCCGGCGGCCUAUCAGCUUGUUGGUGGGGUGAUGGCCUACCAAGGCGA